CGUAGGGACCGAGCGUUGUCCGGAUUCAUUGGGCGUAAAGAGCUCGUAGGCGGCUAUUCAAGUCGAACGUGAAAUCUCGGAGCUCAACUCCGAGCCUGCGUUUGAUACUGGAUGGCUAGAGUCUGGUAGGGGGAUCUGGAAUUCCUGGUGUAGCGGUGGAAUGCGCAGAUAUCAGGAGGAACACCGGUGGCGAAGGCGGGAUCCUGGGCCAGUACUGACGCUGAGGAGCGAAAGCGUGGGGAGCAAACAGGACUAGAUACCCUGGUAGUCCACGCCGUAAACGAUGGGCGCUAGGUGUGGGAGGUCAUCGACUCCUUCCGUGCCGCAGCUAACGCAUUAAGCGCCCUGCCUGGGGAGUACGGCCGCAAGGCUA
This 373-nucleotide ribosomal RNA is filed under the name uncultured organism. Its description in RNAcentral is "bacterial SSU rRNA". It matches the Rfam family "Bacterial small subunit ribosomal RNA", at positions 526 to 896 of the family's 1533-position model. The record is from RNAcentral.